Molecule: long non-coding RNA, 463 nt
Filed under: Homo sapiens (human)
Lineage: Eukaryota; Metazoa; Chordata; Mammalia; Primates; Hominidae
Description: HSALNT0374320
Source: RNAcentral
AUUCACAGUGACAGAGAUGGAGUUGAGAUGUUGUUGAUCACAGCAGGAAAUGUCAUCAUAAGAAUUUUGUAAAUGAAGAUUUAAUAAGUUCAUGUGGAUAGACCACUUAGAACACUGCCUUCCACAGAGCAGAUCCGAGUUUUGCUGGAUACAAAAUUCUCGGUUGGCAGUUAUGCUGUUUAAGAAGGCUAAAGAUAGGACCACAAUCUCUUCUGGCUGAUGAAGAAGCUGAAAUCUAAAAUUGGUAGUGAAUUGUCCAAGAUGUGGAGCAAGAUGGCAAGUAGAAUCCUUGACUGAUCAUUGUCCCUGUGGGAAUACCACAUUGAACAACACCCCCACACAGAAAAAAGCACUUUCAUAGGAACCAGAAAUCAGAACACAAUCAUGACUUCUCAACAGUCCUCCAAAGUCUUAGCUCAUUCCAGGAGCUAAGUCCAAGGUCUCAUCUGAGACAAGGCAAGUC